Molecule: long non-coding RNA, 1435 nt
Organism: Vigna angularis (adzuki bean)
Lineage: Eukaryota; Viridiplantae; Streptophyta; Magnoliopsida; Fabales; Fabaceae
Exons: 5
Source: RefSeq, a predicted model, not a curated record
CCAAAACACAUUCUCCAUUCUCUGCUUCUGUGUUCUGUUCUAAUCAUUCGCAUUCGCUCUUCCUCUGUUCUAUCAUUUACAAAAUAUGUUCUUUCUCUUCAUUCUUUUUAAUGAAAAACUCAAGGCACUGAUCCUUUAAAAUAAUUGACCCAUACUUUUAGACUUGAUAUUGAAUCAAUAAAUUUGUGAGUUCAGUGGUUUUUACAAUUUUACUUUUUUUUUUUUGUUAUAUUUUUAAAGCUUUCAAUGUACUUUUUGUAUGUGUAAAUGCUGUUUAGUUUAUAAGAAAAUGAAAAAAACUUAUUUUUUAUUUUCUUCUACUCAAGUUUAUACAACUAGGGUUAUUAAAAUUUGAUUUCGGAGUUUAAUGUUGAAUUGUGUUUGCGUUUACGCAUUUUUUUUUUCUUUUAAACAGAGAAAUGGUCUUAUUAUGGAGGAAUAUAUGGCAUUGAUGUUCUGCGUAGACUACUUGUUGAUUGAUUUAUUUGGUUCUUUAGUUAGAAAGACCUAAAUUCGAACUGGUCUUUUAGUUGAGCCUUAAUUUUUUUUUUCUUAUAUUAGGCGCCACUUCGUUGACCGUUUUCUGAUUUGCAUUGCAGCUUUUGAAUAAAAUAUGCUUUCAGGGGCUAAUGUUGAGAAUGAGGCCGCCGAAGAUAGUGAAUUUGAUGAUUCACUUAGAGAAGAUGAAUCAGAAACUUUGUCUGAUAUUGAUGAUUGUGAUGUUGAUGUGUAUCUUCACAAUGAGGAGGAGAAGAAUAUCAAGAUGCUGUGGGAAAGAGUUAACCGAGUGAACAGGCAGCCAAGAAAGCAGUUGCAACAGCUAAUAAGAAAGCUUUUGAGGGAAAUUUUGGAAACUGCUCAGAGGAUUUCCUAGCAGCAAGAGAGCUAGCUGCAGCUGCGGCAAAAUCCAGAAAGGGAAUGAAGCAGAGACGAGCCCAUGAAGCAAAAAACAUUGCGCUUACUCAAUCUGCUGCAGAGGCCUUCAGCCAAAUAUCUAAUGAAAAAAAGAGUCUCAAUUCUAAAGUCAAUAUAGAUCGCCUGGAGGAAUUAUUCAAUGAUAUGGAGGAGGAUGAGAUGGGACCAGCGGAUGAUUACUGAAACGUUACAAAGUGCCCUUUCUGCUUUUAUUAUCUGUUGUUUGCAGUUGCUAUUCAGCAUGGCUGGCUGCUGAACAGAAGAUUGCCAGAGACUGAAAUCUUUUAGUAUGCUGAGUUUUUCCUCCUAUUUUCUAUUUACUCAUCGCAUUCAUUUGCCAAAAUUUUGGAAGUCUUUUUACAAGGAAAUUGUUAGGUAGGUUUAUCAGCAUCACUCUGUUUUGACACAAAGCAAUGCUUUGGUUGUGUUUCAUAUCAAAAGUCUACUUAACAAACCUGUAUAGAAUGUGUUUUGUUAUGAUAGGCAAUGAAUUCAAAUGAAGGAAGGUGUUGAAAAUAGA